GACGAGCCUCAUUUACUCCCUCAAAGGGUGGCAGUUGAGAGGAUGAAUAUUAAUUACUAUUUUUACAGUAUGGAUAAAAAAUCACGUUUUUACAGUCACUCUCUUUUUGCCCCUUCCCAAUCCCAUUCACCUUCAUAAUAUAAAUACUACAAUUCAAUUCAUCCUUCGCCUUCACUUCUCCAUCACUACACUACCAAAUUAAUUCGCAACAUGGCUCGUCGAAACACAGCUCUCUUGAGCGUCCUGCUUAUUAUCAAUGUCACCUUACUGUCUUUUGUAGCAGCCGAUCAACAACAG
RNAcentral lists this long non-coding RNA (297 nucleotides) under Linum usitatissimum (flax). RNAcentral describes it as "long non-coding RNA (LUSI_LNC002961)". The record is from RNAcentral. Lineage: Eukaryota; Viridiplantae; Streptophyta; Magnoliopsida; Malpighiales; Linaceae.